UACGUAGGGUGCAGGCGUUAAUCGGAAUUACUGGGCGUAAAGCGUGCGCAGGCGGUUUGCUAAGACAGGUGUGAAAUCCCCGGGCUUAACCUGGGAACUGCGCUUGUAACCGGCAAGCUAGAGUGUGGCAGAGGGGGGUGGAAUUCCACGUGUAGCAGUGAAAUGCGUAGAGAUGUGGAGGAACACCGAUGGCGAAGGCAGCCCCCUGGGCUAACACUGACGCUCAUGCACGAAAGCGUGGGGAGCAAACAGG
This 253-nucleotide ribosomal RNA is filed under the name uncultured bacterium. RNAcentral's name for it is "partial 16S ribosomal RNA". It matches the Rfam family "Bacterial small subunit ribosomal RNA", at positions 524 to 776 of the family's 1533-position model. The record is from RNAcentral.